AAUAUCUUGCAUCCUGUGCCCCUCAAUAUCAUGUCAUGGCCAUACUGUGCUUUGGCUAACCAAUUCUCCCCUCAAUAAUCCACUAGGCAUCCAACCAAACUUCACUUGUGGGGUUGCAAAGUACCCAGUAGCAUUGUAAAUUUCGCCCAUAGCAAACCCUCUGCAGUAUCAUGCCAUGCCCAUGACUGAUUUCUAGUGAAGUGGAAGACGACAAUAUUGAUCAAGGGUUGAGGAGGCUAGAAGGGAUUAUGGAUGAAAGUAUCACUGCUUUGAUGGAGGAA
Molecule: long non-coding RNA, 281 nt
Filed under: Elaeis guineensis (African oil palm)
Lineage: Eukaryota; Viridiplantae; Streptophyta; Magnoliopsida; Arecales; Arecaceae
Description: long non-coding RNA (EGUI_LNC058603)
Source: RNAcentral